AGACAUGGCUAAUUGCCUUAUUCUCCUUGCUCAAGGCCAUAUCAAUAAUACUUUCAAAGAUUCGUCACCAAAGCAAGACGAUAAUUAUGCUGCCGGAGUUUACAACCCGGCCAUCACUGCUAUUGCUGCCACCACCACCAACAACAAAUUCAAUAGUAGAAAAUUCUUGGAAACUGGCUCUCCGGGUUCUGGCAAGGUCGGAUACUAUGUUUAUGAGUGCAAGACUUGUAACCGAGCAUUCCCAUCUUUUCAAGCAUUGGGUGGGCAUAGGGCCAGUCACAAGAAGCCUAAGAACGAUGAAAAGAAGCAGUUUGCUAUAUCUUCUGAUGAAGAAGAUGGACACUUCAGGGAUGUUUCUUCUCUUUCUCUUCAAUUGA
Molecule: unclassified non-coding RNA, 377 nt
Filed under: Hevea brasiliensis (rubber tree)
Lineage: Eukaryota; Viridiplantae; Streptophyta; Magnoliopsida; Malpighiales; Euphorbiaceae
Source: RNAcentral